AGCAGCUCCUUCCAGGGACAGAGCUCGAGCGCAGCUACGUACGCAUCCCAGCAUGGCUUUCACUUCCAGAGCCUUGGCCGCGUUCCUGUGCGUGCUCCUGGCCUCACUCAUGUUCCUCGCGCAGCACGCGUUCGCCGCCAGAGGUAUCGUCAACUCUCUGCUUCUCAGUGUCGUUCUCCUCGUGUCUAAAAUAGCUGUAAUUCAAUCUGCCUGUGCAUGAACGUUGCUACCGCAGGUACUUUGAGCAACGAGACGCCAUACGGGGUCACCUACAAGGCCCCGCCCGGUGGUUAUGGGAGUUCUCCUCCAUGAUAGGCCGGAGAUGAUGAUACUUGGAGCAGCGAAACACAAAUACGUACGGCGGAGCAUGAAUAAAUUUGCACUAGUUGCUGAUAUAAAGCAAAGCAUAGUGAUGCACGGUUUUAUGUUGUUAUUGAGUUUCCCUUUAUAUAUAUACAAAUAAACACCCUUGUGGUGGUUUGCGUGCUAUCUUACCUCGCGAGUCAUCUGAGUUUGGCUGACGCCGAGUAUCUUCGGUUCGCAUCAAAGUUAUCAAGUCUCUGCAUGAACUAAGUUACAGUCAUUAUAUA
RNAcentral lists this long non-coding RNA (590 nucleotides) under Triticum aestivum (bread wheat). Its description in RNAcentral is "long non-coding RNA (TAES_LNC028208)". Lineage: Eukaryota; Viridiplantae; Streptophyta; Magnoliopsida; Poales; Poaceae. The record is from RNAcentral.